Long non-coding RNA from Hordeum vulgare subsp. vulgare (domesticated barley), 467 nucleotides. RefSeq lists it as uncharacterized. The record is from RefSeq and is a predicted model, not a curated record. Lineage: Eukaryota; Viridiplantae; Streptophyta; Magnoliopsida; Poales; Poaceae. The transcript has 2 exons.
CAUCCGGUAUAUUCUGGGAUAAUGACAGUUUGGCGACGUUGUUGGCAAAAGAACUGGAUGCUGAUCGUCUUAUCAUGCUUAGUGAUGUGGAGGGACUCUAUAGUGGUGGUUUUCGUUCCUGACGACAAUGACCGUGUGGAUCUGGGCUAGCAGGAUUGCUUGGGUCUUUAGUUUGAUGCGACUAAGAGGGCAGCCUGCAGUUCUCUGGCGUGUGGGAGCUCUGUUUCGGCUUGGCCUAGCGACGUUGCAGUGCGGAUGCGUGCUGCAUGCAAUUUACUUGGUCUGGUGGAAGCAAAAUUUGUGUACUUAUUUUUUAGUGUUAUCCCUUGGUUUGUUGUUUUGCCUCCGAAAAUGUGGUGUGGUUCACUUGUCCUGGCGAGACAAUUCUCAAUGUACUUUGCACCAUAGAAAAUCAAACAAAAAGAGUGACAAGUAACAACCCAAAGAAUGAAAAAGUGAUGCAGUUA